RNAcentral lists this ribosomal RNA (1073 nucleotides) under Pseudomonas putida. Its description in RNAcentral is "bacterial LSU rRNA". It matches the Rfam family "Bacterial large subunit ribosomal RNA", at positions 404 to 1482 of the family's 2925-position model. The record is from RNAcentral. Lineage: Bacteria; Pseudomonadati; Pseudomonadota; Gammaproteobacteria; Pseudomonadales; Pseudomonadaceae.
GAAAUCGAGUAGGACGGAGCACGAGAAACUUUGUCUGAACAUGGGGGGACCAUCCUCCAAGGCUAAAUACUACUGACUGACCGAUAGUGAACCAGUACCGUGAGGGAAAGGCGAAAAGAACCCCGGAGAGGGGAGUGAAAUAGAUCCUGAAACCGUAUGCGUACAAGCAGUGGGAGCCUACUUUGUUAGGUGACUGCGUACCUUUUGUAUAAUGGGUCAGCGACUUAUAUUCAGUGGCGAGCUUAACCGAAUAGGGGAGGCGUAGCGAAAGCGAGUCUUAAUAGGGCGUUUAGUCGCUGGGUAUAGACCCGAAACCGGGCGAUCUAUCCAUGGGCAGGUUGAAGGUUGGGUAACACUAACUGGAGGACCGAACCGACUACCGUUGAAAAGUUAGCGGAUGACCUGUGGAUCGGAGUGAAAGGCUAAUCAAGCUCGGAGAUAGCUGGUUCUCCUCGAAAGCUAUUUAGGUAGCGCCUCAUGUAUCACUGUAGGGGGUAGAGCACUGUUUCGGCUAGGGGGUCAUCCCGACUUACCAAACCGAUGCAAACUCCGAAUACCUACAAGUGCCGAGCAUGGGAGACACACGGCGGGUGCUAACGUCCGUCGUGAAAAGGGAAACAACCCAGACCGUCAGCUAAGGUCCCAAAGUCAUGGUUAAGUGGGAAACGAUGUGGGAAGGCUUAGACAGCUAGGAGGUUGGCUUAGAAGCAGCCACCCUUUAAAGAAAGCGUAAUAGCUCACUAGUCGAGUCGGCCUGCGCGGAAGAUGUAACGGGGCUCAAACCAUGCACCGAAGCUACGGGUAUCACCUUUUGGUGAUGCGGUAGAGGAGCGUUCUGUAAGCCUGUGAAGGUGAGUUGAGAAGCUUGCUGGAGGUAUCAGAAGUGCGAAUGCUGACAUGAGUAACGACAAUGCGAGUGAAAAACUUGCACGCCGAAAGACCAAGGUUUCCUGCGCAACGUUAAUCGACGCAGGGUUAGUCGGUCCCUAAGGCGAGGCUGAAAAGCGUAGUCGAUGGAAAACAGGUUAAUAUUCCUGUACUUCCGAUUGUUGCGAUGGAGGGACGGAGAAGGC